Molecule: ribosomal RNA, 388 nt
Filed under: uncultured eukaryote
Lineage: Eukaryota
Description: partial 18S ribosomal RNA
Rfam family: Eukaryotic small subunit ribosomal RNA
Source: RNAcentral
CAAUAGCGUAUAUUAAAGUUGUUGUAGUUAAAAAGCUCGUAGUUGGAUUUCUGAUCGAGACAUCAGGUCGGGUCCGAGAGGAUCAUGUACUUUGAUUUUGUUUUGAUCAUCCUUGGGGAGAGCAUUUCUGGCAUUCAGUUGUCGGGAUUGGGAUCCUCAUCGUUUACUGUGAAAAAAUUAGAGUGUUCAAAGCAGGCCUCGGCCUCUGAAUACAUUAGCAUGGAAUAAUAAGAUAGGACUUUGGUGGUCUAUUUUGUUGGUUUGCACGCCAAAGUAAUGAUUAAUAGGGAUAGUUGGGGGUAUUCGUAUUCAAUUGUCAGAGGUGAAAUUCUUGGAUUUAUGGAAGACGAACUACUGCGAAAGCAUUUACCAAGGAUGUUUUCAUUAA